CCGGUGACGUAGAUCGCAAAUAUGUGUACACAACCAUGUGUUCAAUGACGCUUACUAAAUAGCAGUGUCCAAAACUGUCAAAGCUUGUUAUGAACGGAAGCUAAGAUGAUGGAGUCUGUAGGAAAAAGAAAGUGUCAGAGUCAGAAAAAGAGUCGGCCAGAAGAGGUACAGAGAGAGACUGAAAAUGCAGGGAAAGGCAGAUAAUGAGUGGAAACCUGAAGACCCGGUAACACUUGUGAGGAACAGCACAAAAAGUGGAGGGAACAUAAAAGAAUAUGAACCACAAGUGGCACUGAGUGGAGAGCCCCAGACCAAAGAGGGCCCAGCCAUUAUAAGUCAACCUGAGAAACCACAAGUCGCACUUAGUGGAGAGCCUCAGACCAUAGAGGGCCCAGCCAUUUGAAGAGCCCAAUACCAGAGAGGGCCAAGCCAUUAUAAGAGCUCCAGACCAAAGAGGGCCCAGCCAUUAUAAAUCAACCUGAGGAACCACAAGUCACACUUGGUGGAGAGCCUCAGACCAUAGAGGGCCCAGCCAUUUGAAGAGCCCCAUACCAUAGAGGGCCAAGCCAUUAUAAGAGCUCCAGACCAAAGAGGGCCCAGCCAUUAUAAGUCAACCUGAGGAACCACAAGUGGCACUGAGUGGAGAGCCCCAGACCAAAGAGGGCCCAGCCAUUAUAAGUCAACCUGAGAAACCACAAGUCGCACUUAGUGGAGAGCCCCAGACCAUAGAGGGCCCAGCCAUUAUAAGUCAACCUGAGGAACCACAAGUGGCACUGAGUGGAGAGCCCCAGACCAAAGAGGGCCCAGCCAUUAUAAGUCAACCUGAGAAACCACAAGUCGCACUUAGUGGAGAGCCUCAGACCAUAGAGGGCCCAGCCAUUUGAAGAGCCCAAUACCAGAGAGGGCCAAGCCAUUUUAAGAGCUCCAGACCAAAGAGGGCCCAGCCAUUAUAAAUCAACCUGAGGAACCACAAGUCACACUUAGUGGAGAGCCUCAGAC
Molecule: long non-coding RNA, 999 nt
Organism: Saccostrea cuccullata (small rock oyster)
Lineage: Eukaryota; Metazoa; Mollusca; Bivalvia; Ostreida; Ostreidae
Exons: 2
Source: RefSeq, a predicted model, not a curated record